This 253-nucleotide ribosomal RNA is filed under the name uncultured bacterium. Its description in RNAcentral is "partial 16S ribosomal RNA". It matches the Rfam family "Bacterial small subunit ribosomal RNA", at positions 524 to 776 of the family's 1533-position model. The record is from RNAcentral.
UACGGGGGGGGCAAGCGUUGUUCGGAAUUACUAGGCGUAAAGGGCUCGUAGGUGGCCAACUAAGUCAUACGUGAAAUCCCUCAGCUUAACUGGGGAACUGCGUCUGAUACUGGAUGGCUUGAGUUUGGGAGAGGGAUGCGGAAUUCCAGGUGUAGCGGUGAAAUGCGUAGAUAUCUGGAGGAACACCGGUGGCGAAGGCGGCAUCCUGGACCAAUACUGACACUGAGGAGCGAAAGCCAGGGGAGCAAACGGG